AGGAUCAUUAAAGAAAUGCGGCGGAGGGGCCCAAAAGGCCCCCGAGCCAACACUUUCUACCCUGUCUUUUCGAUACCUCUACCUCCUCCCCGGCCCCCGGGCCGGGAUGGCUACUUCAAAAAAACCUUGCAGUUUACAGUCAAUUCAGUACUUUGUAACAAAAUUACAACUUUCAACAAUGGAUCUCUUGGCUCUGGCAUCGAUGAAGAACGCAGCGAAAUGCGAUAAGUAGUGUGAAUUGCAGAAUUCAGCGAAUCAUCGAAUCUUUGAACGCACAUUGCGCCCUUCGGUUAUUCCUUAGGGCAUGCCUGUUCGAGCGUCAUUUCAACCUUCAAGCCUGGCUUGGUGUUGGGCGCUGUCCCGCCUCCGCGCGCGGACUCGCCCCAAAUGAAUUGGCAGUCGCACCCUCCGAGCCGCGAGCGCAGCACAAGUCGCGCGGGCGGUACUCUGGGGGGACGGACGCUCCACAAGACCCUUUCUCAGUCUUGACCUCGGAUCAGGUAGGGAUACCCGCUGAACUUAAGCAUAUCAAUAAGCGGAGGAAAAGAAACCAACAGGGAUUGCCCC
This 567-nucleotide ribosomal RNA is filed under the name Torula sp. F277915. Its description in RNAcentral is "eukaryotic LSU rRNA". The stretch from base 168 to 322 matches the Rfam family "5.8S ribosomal RNA". Lineage: Eukaryota; Fungi; Ascomycota; Dothideomycetes; Pleosporales; Torulaceae. The record is from RNAcentral.